Molecule: ribosomal RNA, 268 nt
Filed under: uncultured Dyella sp.
Lineage: Bacteria; Pseudomonadati; Pseudomonadota; Gammaproteobacteria; Lysobacterales; Rhodanobacteraceae
Description: partial 16S ribosomal RNA
Rfam family: Bacterial small subunit ribosomal RNA
Source: RNAcentral
UUGGCUCAGAACGAACGCUGGCGGCAUGCUUAACACAUGCAAGUCGAACGGCAGCACAGCAGAGCUUGCUCUGUGGGUGGCGAGUGGCGGACGGGUGAGUAAUGCAUCGGGACCUACCCAGACGUGGGGGAUAACGUAGGGAAACUUACGCUAAUACCGCAUACGUCCUACGGGAGAAAGCGGGGGAUCGCAAGACCUCGCGCGGUUGGAUGGACCGAUGUGCGAUUAGCUAGUUGGUAGGGUAAUGGCCUACCAAGGCGACGAUCGC